Molecule: ribosomal RNA, 254 nt
Filed under: uncultured bacterium
Lineage: Bacteria
Description: partial 16S ribosomal RNA
Rfam family: Bacterial small subunit ribosomal RNA
Source: RNAcentral
CACGUAGGGUGCGAGCGUUGUCCGGAAUUAUUGGGCGUAAAGAGCUCGUAGGCGGUGUGUCGCGUCGGCCGUGAAAACCUGCAGCUUAACUGUGGGCUUGCGGUCGAUACGGGCAUCACUGGAGUUCGGCAGGGGAGACUGGAAUUCCUGGUGUAGCGGUGGAAUGCGCAGAUAUCAGGAGGAACACCAGUGGCGAAGGCGGCUCACUGGACCGGUACUGACGCUGAUGCGCGAAAGCGUGGGGAGCAAACGGG